CAGCCAUGCCGCGUGUGUGAAGAAGGCCUUAUGGUUGUAAAGCACUUUAAGCGAGGAGGAGGCUCUUUUGGUUAAUACCCAAGAUGAGUGGACGUUACUCGCAGAAUAAGCACCGGCUAACUCUGUGCCAGCAGCCGCGGUAAUACGUAGGUGGCAAGCGUUGUCCGGAUUUACUGGGCGUAAAGAGUAUGUAGGCGGACAUUUAAGUCAGAUGUGAAAUCCCCGGGCUUAACCUGGGAGCUGCAUUUGAUACUGGGUGUCUAGAGUGUAGGAGAGGAAAGUGGAAUUCCUAGUGUAGCGGUGAAAUGCGUAGAGAUUAGGAAGAACACCAGUGGCGAAGGCGACUUUCUGGACUAUAACUGACGCUGAGAUACGAAAGCGUGGGGAGCAAACA
RNAcentral lists this ribosomal RNA (394 nucleotides) under uncultured bacterium. RNAcentral's name for it is "bacterial SSU rRNA". It matches the Rfam family "Bacterial small subunit ribosomal RNA", at positions 389 to 774 of the family's 1533-position model. The record is from RNAcentral.